Non-coding RNA from Danio rerio (zebrafish), 2066 nucleotides. The record is from RefSeq and is a predicted model, not a curated record. NCBI's taxonomy places the organism in Eukaryota, Metazoa, Chordata, Actinopteri, Cypriniformes, Danionidae.
CUGUAAGGAACGGGCGGGGUGGGGGUCGGCAGUGUUGAUCGCGGACUAUGAAGAUAACAAAUGAUAAAAGGUAUAAUUGGUAUUUGUCUUACAGGCACUGUCAUUAGAAGUAGAAAUAGCAGCAAAAGCUCUGAUCGAUGUAUUAGCCAGGGGCCUUACUCCAUCUUCGUAAAGAAAUGCACUAGCAAGUGGUAGUAGACCAAUGAGAGAAAGCAUCUCAAGUGGGACCAUUCCUUUGCCUGCAGAGCCUGAAAACAUGGUAAGGCAAGCCUUAAAAAGGUAAUUUUUCAUGUUUACUGUAAAACACAACUUUUUGUGUCAUGCAAAAAAUGUUUCUUAUUAUUAAUAUGUUUAUUCAUUUUGCCCUUUUGUCACUAUGGGCAAUUCCCAAGUAUGUUUGGGACAGAGAUUUUUCUGUGGCCAAACCUGGAAACAUUAAAAAAACUGAUUUUCAAAUACAUGUCCUCUCUAAACCAUCACCCUUCACACCAAAAGGAGAUGAAGACCUUGAGCUUGUCCAUGCUGGACUUGGAAAAAGGCUUUUAACUGUUCCAGAUAAUUUUAAACACAGUGAGAUUGUCAGUCUGCUUGAAGGAGAGUUUCCCAAAUUAAAAACACUUCAGGGUGGCUGGAUGUUUUACAAGUCUACAGGUAUUUAUGUUUUGCAUGUUACAUAUAAACAAAAAAUGAUUUGUGUGCAUUUGCAAUAACUUUGCACUUUUGUAAAUUAAUGAAACUGGUAUGUGCUUUGUUGGCGUUAAUAAUUUAGUAAUAAGCUUCAUUAGUUUAAACUUUUUAGUCAAGGACAUGUUUCUUUGCCAUGUUCUAAGAUUAUGGCAUGCCCUACUUCAGUUUUCCAGUGGUAAACAGAGCUUUAUAGAACAUUUCUGUCCAAAAUUUUAGGUGACACAUUUAUAACAAUAUUGCUAGCCCAAGAAGGCAACAGUAGUCCUGAAUGUGAUUCUCAAUUGAUUUUGCCAUUAGGUGGGGGUGGGCGGCGUAAGCUGUCUAUAAUUCCCACAGAUGCUGAUGGAUACUCAACUCGACUCCUAAAAUCAGUGUCAAAUAAUGGAAAGAACAUGCUGUUUGUAGUUCCAUUACAGGAACAGCUUUCCACUGAACCAUUACCUUAUGAUUCUGUGGAGUUUGCUAAGAUGCCACAGUCCAGCUGUAUGAAAUGUGGUAAGAAAAUACCACUGCCAUUGCUGCCCUUACACAUUGAAGAGUGUAAAGAAGCUGAGACAGUAAGUCAUACAGUAUUAUGGUUUUAUUGUUCUAUCAAUAUUAUUUAUUUACAAUGCCAAUGCAUUUUGAUUACUUUUAUUAGGAGUCUUCAAAUGAUUUGACCAUUCUAGAUGAUGAUGUAGACGAAAAUGUAAUCGAAACUGUUGACCAGCCAAGCCCACUUCACCCCAUCUUAGAACCAUCAUUACAGAUUUGUCCAAUUUGCCAGAUCUCUUUCCCAACUGAUGUCUUGCCUUUUCAUGCAAGCAUGUGUGGUGAAGGGUAAAGUUAUGCUAAAAAUUGUAGGAUGACAUGCCUUUAAUACUAAAGGAUUAGUUUGCACAGUUUGUUUUGGUUGUAUAUAUCUCGAGGGAGAUGUACAAAGAUCAGAUGGAAUGUAGGGUAAAAAAUUAACAAAAUAAUUUUCUGGUGGACUGUCUUAAAUUUAAAUUAAUGUGUUGGUUUCAUAAACUGGGUCAGUAGUAGACAUUAUUAGAUUUGAUGUAUGUAGCUUUUAUAAGCCUUGCUUUGAGAAAAUCAUUACUGGUGACUUUUGACAUUAAUGGCUAUAUACAGUAUGUCAUUGUAAGUUACAUCCAGACUUUGUCUGGCACUAGGGUCUAAGCCUUGUCUAUGAAACUGGGCAAAUGCUUUUAAUAUGCAUGAACAUUUUUGAAGUGGCUUAAUGAACAAAAUUGAAAUUGUUUGUGUCUUGCCUGUUUUAGAGAAAGGACUUUUGGUGACAAUGAUUCUUCAUUCACUUUAAAUACAGAAGAAUUGCCAGGACCCUCAACUGCACAAUCUUCAACAUCAUUGUCUGCAGGUUAGACACAACACAUUUU